Molecule: ribosomal RNA, 2932 nt
Filed under: Aureimonas phyllosphaerae
Lineage: Bacteria; Pseudomonadati; Pseudomonadota; Alphaproteobacteria; Hyphomicrobiales; Aurantimonadaceae
Description: 23S ribosomal RNA
Rfam family: Bacterial large subunit ribosomal RNA
Source: RNAcentral
GAUCAAGUGUCUUAAGGGCAUCUGGUGAAUGCCUUGGCAUGCACAGGCGAUGAAGGACGUGAUACGCUGCGAUAAGCCAUGGGGAGCUGCGAAUAAGCUUUGAUCCGUGGAUUUCCGAAUGGGGCAACCCACCUCCGAGCCUUGGUCAGAUCGGAACGGCACUGGAUGGCGAUGAGCUGUCUGGUGGUGUUGCGGUGACCAAGGUUCAACAGCGAGGUAUCUAACCUUCGAAUACAUAGGGGUUAGAAGCGAACUCGGGGAACUGAAACAUCUAAGUACCCGAAGGAAAGGACAUCAACCGAGACUCCGUUAGUAGUGGCGAGCGAACGCGGACCAGGCCAGUGACCAUCGAAGAAAGAAGCCGAACAGGUUGGAAAGCCUGACAAGAGUGGGUGAUAGUCCCGUAGGCGCAAUGUUCUCGAUGGUCCUCGAGUAGGGCGGGACACGUGAAAUCCUGUCUGAAAUUGGGGGGACCACCCUCCAAGCCUAAGUACUCGUGCAUGACCGAUAGUGAACCAGUACCGUGAGGGAAAGGUGAAAAGCACCCCGACAAGGGGAGUGAAAGAGAACCUGAAACCGGAUGCCUACAAACAGUAGGAGCCCAAGGUUUGUCCUGGGUGACUGCGUACCUUUUGUAUAAUGGGUCAGCGACUUAGUCUGGCGAGCGAGCUUAAGCCGAUAGGUGUAGGCGCAGCGAAAGCGAGUCUGAACAGGGCGUUCAGUUCGUCGGAUUAGACCCGAAACCGAGUGAUCUAGCCAUGAGCAGGUUGAAGGUGCGGUAACACGCACUGGAGGACCGAACCCGCAUCUGUUGCAAUAGAUUGGGAUGACUUGUGGCUAGGGGUGAAAGGCCAAUCAAACUCGGAAAUAGCUGGUUCUCCGCGAAAUCUAUUUAGGUAGAGCGUCGACCGAAUACUCCAGGGGGUAGAGCACUGAAUGGGCUAGGGGGACUCACCGUCUUACCAAACCCAAUCAAACUCCGAAUACCUGGAAGUACUAGUCGGCAGACACACGGCGGGUGCUAACGUCCGUCGUGAAGAGGGAAACAACCCUGACCGACAGCUAAGGUCCCCAAGUUAUGGCUAAGUGGGAAAGGAUGUGAGAAUCCCAAAACAACCAGGAUGUUGGCUUAGAAGCAGCCAUCAUUUAAAGAAAGCGUAACAGCUCACUGGUCUAGAUUUAAGGGUUCUUGCGCCGAAAAUGUAACGGGGCUCAAGCCAUACACCGAAGCUUCGGGUUUACGCCUCUGGCGUAAGCGGUAGCGGAGCGUUCCCUAGGCCGUUGAAGGAGGAUCCGUGAGGACCUCUGGAGGUAUGGGAAGUGCGAAUGCUGACAUGAGUAACGAUAAAGGGUGUGAGAGACACCCUCGCCGAAAGUCCAAGGGUUCCUGCUUAAAGUUAAUCUGAGCAGGGUGAGCCGGCCCCUAAGGCGAGGCCGAAAGGCGUAGUCGAUGGGAACCACGUUAAUAAUCGUGGGCCUGGUGGUGAGUGACGGAUCCCGUGUGUUGUCGACCCUUAUUGGAUUGGGUCGGCUGCGAAGGGGUCCCAGGAAAUANNNNNNNNNNNNNNNNNNNNNNNNNNNNNNNNNNNNNNNNNNNNNNNNNNNNNNNNNNNNNNNNNNNNNNNNNNNNNNNNNNNNNNNNNNNNNNNAAUAGCCCCACCGUAUAGACCGUACCCGAAACCGACACAGGUGGACUGGUAGAGCAUACCAAGGCGCUUGAGAGAACUGCGUUGAAGGAACUCGGCAAAUUGCACGCGUAACUUCGGAAGAAGCGUGACCUCCACGGGCGCAAGCUUGUGGUGGUGGCACAGACCAGGGGGUAGCGACUGUUUAUCAAAAACACAGGGCUCUGCGAAGUCGCAAGACGACGUAUAGGGUCUGACGCCUGCCCGGUGCUGGAAGGUUAAGAGGAGGGGUGCAAGCUCUGAAUCGAAGCCCCAGUAAACGGCGGCCGUAACUAUAACGGUCCUAAGGUAGCGAAAUUCCUUGUCGGGUAAGUUCCGACCUGCACGAAUGGCGUAACGACUUCCCCGCUGUCUCCAACGCAGACUCAGUGAAAUUGAAUUCCCCGUGAAGAUGCGGGGUUCCUGCGGUCAGACGGAAAGACCCCGUGCACCUUUACUAUAGCUUUACACUGGCAUUCGUGUCGGCAUGUGUAGGAUAGGUGGUAGGCUUUGAAGCGUGGGCGCCAGCUCGCGUGGAGCCAUCCUUGAAAUACCACCCUUAUCGUCAUGGAUGUCUAACCGCGGCCCGUCAUCCGGGUCCGGGACAGUGUAUGGUGGGUAGUUUGACUGGGGCGGUCGCCUCCCAAAGAGUAACGGAGGCGCGCGAUGGUGGGCUCAGACCGGUCGGAAAUCGGUCGUCGAGUGCAAUGGCAUAAGCCCGCCUGACUGCGAGACAGACAAGUCGAGCAGAGACGAAAGUCGGUCAUAGUGAUCCGGUGGUCCCGCGUGGAAGGGCCAUCGCUCAACGGAUAAAAGGUACGCCGGGGAUAACAGGCUGAUGACCCCCAAGAGUCCAUAUCGACGGGGUUGUUUGGCACCUCGAUGUCGGCUCAUCGCAUCCUGGGGCUGGAGCAGGUCCCAAGGGUUUGGCUGUUCGCCAAUUAAAGCGGUACGUGAGCUGGGUUCAGAACGUCGUGAGACAGUUCGGUCCCUAUCUGCCGUGGGUGCAGGAAUAUUGACAGGAUCUGUCCCUAGUACGAGAGGACCGGGAUGGACAUACCUCUGGUGGACCUGUUGUGGCGCCAGCCGCAGUGCAGGGUAGCUAUGUAUGGACGGGAUAACCGCUGAAGGCAUCUAAGCGGGAAACCCACCUGGAAACGAGUAUUCCCUAUCAGGGCCGUGGAAGACGACCACGUUGAUAGGCCGGAUGUGGAAGCGCGGUAACGCGUGAAGCUGACCGGUACUAAUCGCCCGAUCGGCUUGAUCGU